GCUCCCGUAGCUCAGAUGGAUAGAGCGGCGGACUUCUAAUCCGUAGGUCGUAGGUUCGAUUCCUACCGGGGGCG
Molecule: transfer RNA, 74 nt
Filed under: Actinomycetes bacterium
Lineage: Bacteria; Bacillati; Actinomycetota; Actinomycetes
Also listed under: 2 other names
Description: tRNA-Arg
Rfam family: tRNA
About the family: Transfer RNA (tRNA) molecules are approximately 80 nucleotides in length. Their secondary structure includes four short double-helical elements and three loops (D, anti-codon, and T loops).
Source: RNAcentral